RNAcentral lists this microRNA precursor (83 nucleotides) under Tupaia belangeri chinensis (Chinese tree shrew). RNAcentral describes it as "Tupaia chinensis (Chinese tree shrew) mir-1343 microRNA precursor family". It matches the Rfam family "mir-1343 microRNA precursor family". Lineage: Eukaryota; Metazoa; Chordata; Mammalia; Scandentia; Tupaiidae. The record is from Rfam by way of RNAcentral.
CUGGCAUCGGUGCUAGGGAGUGGGCCCCGAGGCGGGCCUCCUCUCAGGCCCCUUCUGGGUCCAGCACUCUUGCUUCGGGCCCG